This 466-nucleotide ribosomal RNA is filed under the name uncultured bacterium. RNAcentral's name for it is "partial 16S ribosomal RNA". It matches the Rfam family "Bacterial small subunit ribosomal RNA", at positions 28 to 507 of the family's 1533-position model. The record is from RNAcentral.
GACGAACGCUGGCGGCGUGCUUAACACAUGCAAGUCGAACGGUAAGGCUCCAGCUUGCUGGGGUACACGAGUGGCGAACGGGUGAGUAACACGUGGGUGACCUGCCCUGCACUUCGGGAUAAGCCUGGGAAACUGGGUCUAAUACCGGAUAGGACCAUGGUGUGGAUACUGUGGUGGAAAGUUUUUUCGGUGUGGGAUGGGCCCGCGGCCUAUCAGCUUGUUGGUGGGGUAAUGGCCUACCAAGGCGGCGACGGGUAGCCGGCCUGAGAGGGUGGACGGCCACAUUGGGACUGAGACACAGCCCAGACUCCUACGGGAGGCAGCAGUGGGGAAUAUUGCACAAUGGGCGGAAGCCUGAUGCAGCGACGCCGCGUGGGGGAUGACGGCCUUCGGGUUGUAAACUCCUUUCACCAUCGACGAAGGGUUUCUGACGGUAGAUGGAGAAGAAGCACCGGCUAACUACGUG